CCCGCCUCGGCCUCCCAAAGUGCUGGGAUUACAGGCAUGAGCCACCGUGCCCAGCCCCAGUUCCAUCUUUGAUAGGAGAUAGAAAAAAAGAUUGAGCAGGAUGGAUGAAGAGGACACUGUUUUUCAAAACUGAUAAACCAGAACUUUUCAAAUGAGUAAACAUCAGGUAAACAUGGAAAGAGACAGUCUGGACAGGCUGAGGGGAUGGCACUGAAGACCCUGCAGUUUUCCAACUGGCUAAUCAGACCCCUGGGAAGAAGGAAUGCUUUUCGGGGUACCUGGCCCAGCAAGCAGAGGGUCCUCAAGGAUUUUUGUCUGUCUUGGUUGUCUGUCGUAUCUCGUGUCUAGAACACAGAACUCACAGUAAGUAGGCACUUCAAUCAAUUACCUGUAGAAUGAACGGACUGAAUGUCACCUUGUUAGAGUACCCUCCUGACCACACUCUGCUAAGCAGUAAUCUUUUAUUUCUCUUUCCCAGUUUUAUUUUUCCUCAUUUACACUUAAUCACCUUGUGACACCUAUUUGUUUACUGUUUCCCCAGUAGAGUGAAAGUCACUUUAACAGCAGAGAUUUAAAUGUAUUUUAAUCCCUACAAAGGAGAAAAAGGGAGGAAAUACGUGACAGGCUCUCAAUAAGUAUUUGCGAAGGAUUUAAUCUCUUGAACGAAUGGAUGAAUGAAUCUAGCAGCCAGC
This 692-nucleotide long non-coding RNA is filed under the name Homo sapiens (human). Its description in RNAcentral is "HSALNT0305447". Lineage: Eukaryota; Metazoa; Chordata; Mammalia; Primates; Hominidae. The record is from RNAcentral.